GUGUCAGCAGCCGCGGUAAGACGAACCGAGCGAACGUUGUUCGGAAUCACUGGGCUUAAAGGGCGCGUAGGCGGCUUGCCAAGUCAGGGGUGAAAUUUUGCGGCUUAACCGUAACAGUGCCUUUGAUACUGGCAGGCUAGAGGGAGACAGGGGUCCGCGGAACUUCUGGUGGAGCGGUGAAAUGCGUUGAUAUCAGAAGGAACGCCGGUGGCGAAAGCGGCGGACUGGAUCUUUUCUGACGCUGAGGCGCGAAAGCCAGGGGAGCAAACGGGAUUAGAUACCCUCGUAGUCC
Molecule: ribosomal RNA, 292 nt
Filed under: uncultured bacterium
Lineage: Bacteria
Description: partial 16S ribosomal RNA
Rfam family: Bacterial small subunit ribosomal RNA
Source: RNAcentral